CAGUCGCCGCGGUAAUACGUAGGGUGCAAGCGUUAAUCGGAAUUACUGGGCGUAAAGCGUGCGUAGGCGGUUUGUCGCGUCUGCUGUGAAAACUGGAGGCUCAACCUCCAGCCUGCAGUGGGUACGGGCAGACUAGAGUGCGGUAGGGGAGAUUGGAAUUCCUGGUGUAGCGGUGGAAUGCGCAGAUAUCAGGAGGAACACCGAUGGCGAAGGCGACCACCUGGACUGAUACUGACACUGAGGUGCGAAAGCGUGGGGAGCAAACAGGAUUAGAUACCCCGGUAGUCCCUGUCUCUUAUAC
This 301-nucleotide ribosomal RNA is filed under the name uncultured bacterium. RNAcentral's name for it is "partial 16S ribosomal RNA". It matches the Rfam family "Bacterial small subunit ribosomal RNA", at positions 509 to 807 of the family's 1533-position model. The record is from RNAcentral.